Molecule: microRNA, 24 nt
Filed under: Amborella trichopoda
Lineage: Eukaryota; Viridiplantae; Streptophyta; Magnoliopsida; Amborellales; Amborellaceae
Description: atr-miR8551
Source: miRBase by way of RNAcentral
AUGUUCUAGGUUAGCUCUUGGAUG